This is a long non-coding RNA of Aethalodelphis obliquidens (Pacific white-sided dolphin), 204 nucleotides long. RefSeq lists it as uncharacterized. The record is from RefSeq and is a predicted model, not a curated record. NCBI's taxonomy places the organism in Eukaryota, Metazoa, Chordata, Mammalia, Artiodactyla, Delphinidae. The transcript is spliced from 3 exons.
UCCAACACUGGCAGGUAGGUCUGGUUCAGCCUCCUAUAGGGUCACUGCUCCUUCCCCUGGGUCCCAAUGCACACACUACUUUGUGUGUGCCCUCCAAGAUUUGAGUCUCUGUUCCCCCCAGUCCUGUAGAAGUCCUGCAAUCAAAUCUCGCUAGCCUUCAAAUUCUGAUUCUCUAGGAAUUCCUCCUCCCAGGUCCUUUGUCAG